UAUCAUACUUCUUGAGAGCAAUGAUGACCUCAGAGAGGAUAACUCAAAUGCAGAAAGAAUCCCAAUUGCCGCUACUCUCCACUGUACCAACUAAGUCAAACAAUACUACCCUGGCUUUACCAUUAUUAUCCAGGUCAGCCUCAUGCUCUGCACCCAGGGCUGAUAUAGGUCCAUCAACUGCACCUCCAGAUGAUGUUGUUAACUUAGAUUAACUCUAAGAAGAUGAGUGCUCCUGUUUGCUGCAGAUUAUGAAGGAAAAACAACAAAGUGAGAUUAUCCAGCCUGUCAGCCAAACAGAUUCACUACU
Long non-coding RNA from Oreochromis aureus, 307 nucleotides. The record is from Ensembl. Lineage: Eukaryota; Metazoa; Chordata; Actinopteri; Cichliformes; Cichlidae.